GCUUGUUGGUGAGGUAAUGGCUCACCAAGGCGACGACGGGUAGCCGGCCUGAGAGGGUGACCGGCCACACUGGGACUGAGACACGGCCCAGACUCCUACGGGAGGCAGCAGUGGGGAAUAUUGCACAAUGGGCGAAAGCCUGAUGCAGCGACGCCGCGUGAGGGAUGACGGCCUUCGGGUUGUAAACCUCUUUCAGUAGGGAACAAGGCCAGCAUUUUUGUUGGUUGAGGGUACUUGCAGAAGAAGCGCCGGCUAACUACGUGCCAGCAGCCGCGGUAAUACGUAGGGCGCAAGCGUUAUCCGGAAUUAUUGGGCGUAAAGAGCUCGUAGGCGGUUUGUCGCGUCUGCCGUGAAAGUCCGGGGCUCAACUCCGGAUCUGCGGUGGGUACGGGCAGACUAGAGUGAUGUAGGGGAGACUGGAAUUCCUGGUGUAGCGGUGAAAUGCGCAGAUAUCAGGAGGAACACCGAUGGCGAAGGCAGGUCUCUGGGCAUUAACUGACGCUGAGGAGCGAAAGCAUGGGGAGCGAACAGGAUUAGAUACCCUGGUAGUCCAUGCCGUAAACGUUGGGCACUAGGUGUGGGGGACAUUCCACGUUUUCCGCGCCGUAGCUAACGCAUUAAGUGCCCCGCCUGGGGAGUACGGCCGCAAGGCUAAAACUCAAAGGAAUUGACGGGGGCCCGCACAAGCGGCGGAGCAUGCGGAUUAAUUCGAUGCAACGCGAAGAACCUUACCAAGGCUUGACAUGAACUGGAAAUACCUGGAAACAGGUGCCCCGCUUGCGGUCGGUUUACAGGUGGUGCAUGGUUGUCGUCAGCUCGUGUCGUGAGAUGUUGGGUUAAGUCCCGCAACGAGCGCAACCCUCGUUCUAUGUUGCCAGCACGUUAUGGUGGGGACUCAUAGGAGACUGCCGGGGUCAACUCGGAGGAAGGUGAGGACGACGUCAAAUCAUCAUGCCCCUUAUGUCUUGGGCUUCACGCAUGCUACAAUGGCCGGUACAAUGGGUUGCGAUACUGUGAGGUGGAGCUAAUC
RNAcentral lists this ribosomal RNA (1030 nucleotides) under Arthrobacter sp. RNAcentral describes it as "bacterial SSU rRNA". It matches the Rfam family "Bacterial small subunit ribosomal RNA", at positions 244 to 1273 of the family's 1533-position model. The record is from RNAcentral. Lineage: Bacteria; Bacillati; Actinomycetota; Actinomycetes; Micrococcales; Micrococcaceae.